CUGUGCACACCACUGCUGACAAAAGAUCUGUAAAUAUCUACACUGGAAUGUAUGCAAGGAACUACAGGUGGAAGUAAAGGAAAACAUCUGGGAGCAUCAACCAGCACCAGUCUCAUGCAAUGGAAAUGUAUCCAUCUCCU
This is a long non-coding RNA of Thalassophryne amazonica, 140 nucleotides long. RefSeq lists it as uncharacterized. NCBI's taxonomy places the organism in Eukaryota, Metazoa, Chordata, Actinopteri, Batrachoidiformes, Batrachoididae. The transcript has 3 exons. The record is from RefSeq and is a predicted model, not a curated record.